Molecule: transfer RNA, 87 nt
Filed under: Desulfovibrio sp. OttesenSCG-928-O18
Lineage: Bacteria; Pseudomonadati; Thermodesulfobacteriota; Desulfovibrionia; Desulfovibrionales; Desulfovibrionaceae
Also listed under: 1 other name
Description: tRNA-Leu
Rfam family: tRNA
About the family: Transfer RNA (tRNA) molecules are approximately 80 nucleotides in length. Their secondary structure includes four short double-helical elements and three loops (D, anti-codon, and T loops).
Source: RNAcentral
GCGCUGGUGGUGGAAUUGGUAGACACGCAAGGUUGAGGGCCUUGUGGCCGCAAGGCUGUGUGGGUUCGAGUCCCACCUAGCGCACCA